UACAGAGGGUGCGAGCGUUGUCCGGAAUCACUGGGCGUAAAGGGCGCGUAGGCGGCCUGAUAAGUAGGGGGUGAAAUCCUGUGGCUUAACUGCAGGGCUGCCUCCUAGACUGUCGGGCUCGAGCACGGUAGAGGCAGAUGGAAUUCCCGGUGUAGCGGUGGAAUGCGUAGAGAUCGGGAAGAACAUCAGUGGCGAAGGCGGUCUGCUGGGCCGUUGCUGACGCUGAGGCGCGAAAGCUAGGGGAGCAAACGGG
This 253-nucleotide ribosomal RNA is filed under the name uncultured bacterium. Its description in RNAcentral is "partial 16S ribosomal RNA". It matches the Rfam family "Bacterial small subunit ribosomal RNA", at positions 524 to 776 of the family's 1533-position model. The record is from RNAcentral.